Molecule: ribosomal RNA, 254 nt
Filed under: uncultured bacterium
Lineage: Bacteria
Description: partial 16S ribosomal RNA
Rfam family: Bacterial small subunit ribosomal RNA
Source: RNAcentral
UACGAAGGGGGCUAGCGUUGCUCGGAAUCACUGGGCGUAAAGGGUGCGUAGGCGGGUCUUUAAGUCGGUGGUGAAAUCCUGGAGCUCAACUCCAGAACUGCCUUCGAUACUGAGAGUCUCAGAGUCCGGGAGAGGUGAGUGGAACUCCGAGUGUAGAGGUGAAAUUCGUAGAUAUUCGGAAGAACACCAGUGGCGAAGGCGGCCAACUGGUCCGAAACUGACGCUGAGGCGCGAAAGCGUGGGGAGCAAACAGG